RNAcentral lists this ribosomal RNA (605 nucleotides) under uncultured Enterococcus sp. Its description in RNAcentral is "bacterial SSU rRNA". It matches the Rfam family "Bacterial small subunit ribosomal RNA", at positions 297 to 892 of the family's 1533-position model. Lineage: Bacteria; Bacillati; Bacillota; Bacilli; Lactobacillales; Enterococcaceae. The record is from RNAcentral.
GGGGUGAUCGGCCACAUUGGGACUGAGACACGGCCCCAAACUCCUACGGGAGGCAGCAGUAGGGAAUCUUCGGCAAUGGACGAAAGUCUGACCGAGCAACGCCGCGUGAGUGAAGAAGGUUUUCGGAUCGUAAAACUCUGUUGUUAGAGAAGAACAAGGAUGAGAGUAACUGUUCAUCCCUUGACGGUAUCUAACCAGAAAGCCACGGCUAACUACGUGCCAGCAGCCGCGGUAAUACGUAGGUGGCAAGCGUUGUCCGGAUUUAUUGGGCGUAAAGCGAGCGCAGGCGGUUUCUUAAGUCUGAUGUGAAAGCCCCCGGCUCAACCGGGGAGGGUCAUUGGAAACUGGGAGACUUGAGUGCAGAAGAGGAGAGUGGAAUUCCAUGUGUAGCGGUGAAAUGCGUAGAUAUAUGGAGGAACACCAGUGGCGAAGGCGGCUCUCUGGUCUGUAACUGACGCUGAGGCUCGAAAGCGUGGGGAGCAAACAGGAUUAGAUACCCUGGUAGUCCACGCCGUAAACGAUGAGUGCUAAGUGUUGGAGGGUUUCCGCCCUUCAGUGCUGCAGCUAACGCAUUAAGCACUCCGCCUGGGGAGUACGACCGCAAG